CCAUACACAUUCAAAAUUACAUUAUAAGUUAUCAAAGUCGGUUUGCACCCCUCUUCCUCCAUCUUCCUAAACACCAAAACAGCAUCCCUGUACCUUCCAUUACUAGCGUAAGCAGUUAUCAACGAAGUAUAAGCAUAAACAUCAAGAUCGAGCCCAUCUAUACGCAGAUUAUUUAACAAAGAAGCCGCUGCUGAAACUUUACCCUGUUUACCCAGCAUACUAAUGAUCACAGCUACAACAGAACAAUUCAAAACCAAUUCACAAUCCUUUCUAUUCCGAACCCACUCAAACACACUCAUUGCCAAAUCACAUUUCUUGUAAAACCCUAAACCCUUAAUUAUACCUAAAAUAUCCAUAGACAAACUAUCA
This 369-nucleotide unclassified non-coding RNA is filed under the name Hevea brasiliensis (rubber tree). Lineage: Eukaryota; Viridiplantae; Streptophyta; Magnoliopsida; Malpighiales; Euphorbiaceae. The record is from RNAcentral.